CCUACGGGAGGCAGCAGUGGGGAAUUUUGGACAAUGGGCGAAAGCCUGAUCCAGCAAUGCCGCGUGAGUGAAGAAGGCCUUCGGGUUGUAAAGCUCUUUUGUCAGGGAAGAAACGGUGAGAGCUAAUAUCUCUUGCUAAUGACGGUACCUGAAGAAUAAGCACCGGCUAACUACGUGCCAGCAGCCGCGGUAAUACGUAGGGUGCAAGCGUUAAUCGGAAUUACUGGGCGUAAAGCGUGCGCAGGCGGUUUUGUAAGUCUGAUGUGAAAUCCCCGGGCUCAACCUGGGAAUUGCAUUGGAGACUGCAAGGCUAGAAUCUGGCAGAGGGGGGUAGAAUUCCACGUGUAGCAGUGAAAUGCGUAGAUAUGUGGAGGAACACCGAUGGCGAAGGCAGCCCCCUGGGUCAAGAUUGACGCUCAUGCACGAAAGCGUGGGGAGCAAACAGGAUUAGAUACCCUGGUAGUCCACGCCCUAAACGGAUGUCUACUAGUUGUCGGGUCUUAAUUGACUUGGUAACGCAGCUAACGCGUGAAGUAGACCGCCUGGGGAGUUACGGUUGCAAGNUUAAAACUUCAAAGGAUUGACCGGG
This 589-nucleotide ribosomal RNA is filed under the name uncultured bacterium. RNAcentral's name for it is "bacterial SSU rRNA". It matches the Rfam family "Bacterial small subunit ribosomal RNA", at positions 338 to 918 of the family's 1533-position model. The record is from RNAcentral.